CCUGGUGGCUCAGAUGGUAAAGCGUCUGCCUGUAAUGCAGGAGAACUGGGUUCGAUCCCAGAGUCGGGA
This 69-nucleotide transfer RNA is filed under the name Bos taurus (domestic cattle). It matches the Rfam family "tRNA". From Rfam's summary of the family: Transfer RNA (tRNA) molecules are approximately 80 nucleotides in length. Their secondary structure includes four short double-helical elements and three loops (D, anti-codon, and T loops). Lineage: Eukaryota; Metazoa; Chordata; Mammalia; Artiodactyla; Bovidae. The record is from Rfam by way of RNAcentral. RNAcentral also lists the same sequence under 4 other names.